Pocillopora damicornis (cauliflower coral) is the source of this 795-nucleotide long non-coding RNA. Lineage: Eukaryota; Metazoa; Cnidaria; Anthozoa; Scleractinia; Pocilloporidae. The record is from RefSeq and is a predicted model, not a curated record.
UGCGUCUUUGGGGAAGUGUAACAACUGAAGGUUCUUUCCAUUGGUACUGACCUAUUUCAUCGCGGGGUUGUUAUAUAAUAAAAUUCAUAAGGGUGUCAGCAGCUUUCCUGAAAUGAUCCCUAAUCAUUCUUUCUGGGGCGAUGUCCCAUUUUUGGUUAAGGAUGGCUGUGUUUUCACAUUUCAAGGAAUAGCUGGCUGUUGCAGACGUGUUUCUAUGAAAGUCAAAGGGGACUCUUAUGCUGAAAUAUAAGAUUAUAUUUUAAUUUCUUUUUCUUUUUUUUAAUUCAGUGAUAACAUUAUGCGAAUUAUUAUGUGACUUACGCGUAGGGUAAUUUACGCUAUAAGUUAAGACUUUUUAUGCGUUGCUUUUGUGGUCUGCCUAGAAGAUUAAGUUAAGAUUAAGGCAAAAACUGCCUUUAAACAUUUUUUUUAUAGCUCAGUGGCCCCGCUUUUGUUCAUGCUACUCCAGUCUUACGGAACUCGUUGCCGUUACCAAUCAGAUUUUGUAGCAAUCUUGCUACUUUUAAGAAUCGACUCAAAAUAUUUCUUUUCAGGAGAGUGUUCAGUACUCGUUUAUAAUGCCCAGUUUAAUGUAAUUGUUUUUGGAUAUAUGCAUAGUUUUAGCGCCAUAUAAAUGUUUAAUUAUUAUUAUUAUUUUUAUUUUUAUCAUAAUAAUAUCAUUAUCGUAUCAUUAUUAUAAUUAUUAGUAAAAACUAAUUAGGAACCACUCAUUAUCUAUUGCGGGGGAGGAGGACGGAGACUUUUGGUUGUGUCAUUAUAAAAUUUGCCUUAUCC